This is an RNA transcript of Zalophus californianus (California sea lion), 11208 nucleotides long. It is a transcript of the gene named biorientation of chromosomes in cell division 1 like 1, with no coding region annotated. NCBI's taxonomy places the organism in Eukaryota, Metazoa, Chordata, Mammalia, Carnivora, Otariidae. The transcript is spliced from 28 exons. The record is from RefSeq and is a predicted model, not a curated record.
CCGCCCGGGCCCGCGCCUUCCCUGGCCCAGGCCUCCAUGGCCACCAACCCGCAGCCGCAGCCUCCUCCUCCGGCGCCGCCGCCUCCCCCGCCGCAGCCACAGCCGCAGCCGCCGCCGCCGCCGCCGGGCCCCGGGGCUGGCGCGGGUGCGGCGGGCGGCGCGGGGGCCGGCGCCGGAGACCCGCAGCUCGUGGCCAUGAUCGUGAACCACCUCAAGAGCCAGGGGCUCUUCGACCAGUUCCGCAGGGACUGCCUGGCCGACGUGGACACCAAGCCUGCCUAUCAGAACCUGAGGCAACGGGUUGACAACUUUGUUGCAAACCACUUGGCAACUCAUACAUGGAGUCCCCACCUUAAUAAGAACCAGCUAAGAAACAACAUUAGGCAGCAAGUGCUCAAAUCAGGAAUGUUGGAGUCUGGUAUUGACCGAAUUAUUUCUCAGGUUGUGGAUCCAAAGAUCAACCACACAUUCAGACCUCAAGUGGAGAAAGCUGUGCAUGAGUUUUUGGCCACACUAAAUCACAAAGAGGAAGCAAGUAGCAGCACAGCCCCCGACGAUGAGAAACCAGACUCUUCCCUCAUUACACAAGGUGUCCCAGCUCCUGGACCCAGCGCUAAUGUAGCCAAUGAUGCCAUGUCAAUCUUGGAAACCAUAACUUCUCUUAACCAAGAAGCCAGUGCGGCCAGGGCUUCGACAGAAACGUCAAAUGCCAAGACCAGUGAGAGAGCAUCCAAAAAACUCCCUUCUCAGCCAAGCAUUGACACUAGUACUGAAAAAGAGAGAACUUCAGAGGACAUAGCCGAUAAAGAAAAAUCUACACCCGACUCUGCCGGGGAAGGACAGGAGACAGCCCCUAAGUCCGAAGAAUUUACUGAUCUCCCUUGUCCAGUUGAAGAAAUUAAAAAUCACACAAAAGAGAGCAAUAGUUCAAUUCUGCUAAAUAAAGAUGUUCAACAGGAAAGCGGUGACCAAAAAAACAAAUCAACAGACAAAGGUGAAAAGAAGCCAGAGAGCAAUGACAAAGGAGAAAGAAAGAAAGAAAAGAAGGAAAAGAUCGAAAAGAAAUUUGAUCACUCAAAAAGGAGUGAGGACGUACAAAAAGUGAAAGAGGAAAAGCAAGCAAAGGAAAAAGAAGUAGAAUGUUCAAAACUCCCCUCAGAAAAGAACAGUAAUAAAGCUAAAAGCUUUGAAGGGACAAAAGAAGAUUGCUCUUUGAUAGAUUCUGAUGUGGAUGGACUUACAGACAUCACAGUUAGCUCUGUCCAUACCAGUGACCUUUCCUCUUUUGAAGAAGACACCGAGGAGGAAGUUGUAAUGUCUGAUAGCAUGGAAGAAGGAGAGAUUACAUCAGAUGAUGAGGAGAAGAACAAACAGAACAAAACAAAAAUUCAAACCAGUGAUCCCAGUGAAGGAAAAGCAAAAAGUGUACGGCAUGCUUAUGUUCACAAACCAUAUCUUUACUCAAAGUAUUACAGUGAUUCUGACGAUGAGCUUACUGUAGAACAACGGCGCCAGUCAAUUGCUAAAGAAAAAGAAGAGAGGCUUUUAAGAAGGCAAAUUAAUAGAGAGAAACUUGAAGAAAAACGAAAGCAGAAAGCUGAAAAGACAAAGUCUUCGAAAGCUAAGAUUCAAGGCAAAAAUAGUGUAGAUUUAGAAGAAUCAUCAACAAAGAGUGUAGAACCUAAACCCCCCAGAAUUAAAGAAGUCCUUAAAGAACGGAAAGUUUUAGAGAAAAAAGUAGCCUUAAGCAAAAAAAGAAAGAAAGAUUCAAGGAAUGUUGAAGAGAAUUCUAAAAAGAAACCUCAAUCUGAAGAAGAUUCCAAAGAAACUCUCAAGACAAGUGAGCAUUGUGAAAAGGAAAAGGUGUCUUCGUCAAAGGAUCUGAAGCAUGUUCAUGUAAAAAGUGAACCAAGUAAACCUGCCCGGAGACUUUCAGAAUCUUUGCAUUCAGCUGACGAAAACAAAAAUGAAUCCAAAAUAGAAAGAGAACAUAAAAGACGCACAUCUACCCCUGUUGUGGUGGAAGGGGCACAGGAAGAUCCUGAUACAAGAGAUGGGAAAAGGCAAGUGGAACGGUCAGAAAUUGGUACAGAAGAGCCCCAGAAACAGAAAAGCACACUUAAAAAUGAAAAGCAUCUAAAAAAAGAUGAUUCUGAAAUACCACAUGUGAAAAGCCUACCUAAGAAAGAGGCAAAAUCCUCCAAGGAGAAGCCUGAAAAAGAGAAGACUCUGUCAGAAGACAAAUUGUCUACAAAACAUAAGUAUAAAGGUGACUGUCUGCAUAAAACAGGUGAUGAGACUGAGCUUCACUCUUCGGAGAAAGGUUUAAAAGUGGAUGAAAAUAUUCAAAAGCAAAGUCAGCAAACAAAACUUUCUUCAGAUGAUAAAACUGAACGAAAAAGUAAACAUAAGAAUGAAAGGAAAUUAUCAAUUUUAGGCAAAGAUGGAAAGCCAGUUUCUGAAUAUAUUAUAAAAACAGAUGAGAAUGUUCGUAAAGAAAACAAUAAAAAAGAGAGGCACAUGUCAGCCGAGAAGACUAAGGCAGAACACAAAUCAAGAAGAUCAAGUGAUUCUAAAAUUCAGAAAGAUUCUCUGAGUUCCAAGCAACAUGGAAUCACAUUACAGAGAAGAAGUGAAAGUUAUUCAGAGGAUAAGUGUGAUACAGACUCAUCUAAUUUAGAUAGUAAUUCAAAACCAGAAGAGGUGGUUCACAAGGAGAAGCGAAGAACAAAGAGCCUACUAGAAGAGAAACUUAUGUUAAAGUCUAAACCAAAAAGUCAAGGCAGACAGUUAAAAGUAGUUGAAACGGAAUUACAAGAAAGUGUCACAAAACAGGCGGCCACUCCAAAACCAGAUAAGGAGAAGAACACAGAAGAGAUCGACCCAGAUAGACAGAGAAAGUCUAAAGCCGAAGACAAACCUUUUGAGGAAACUGGGGUUGAAACUGUAUUGGACAGUGCCACUUCCUCAGCACAUGGUACACAGAAGGAUUCUAGUCACAGAGCAAAGUUACUGUUAGCAAAGGAGAAAUAUAAGGCUGAUAAGGAUUCAGGCUCCUCCAGACCCGAGAGGAAGUUAUCAGAUGGGCACAAAAGCAGAAGCUUAAAGCACGGUAGUAAGGAAAUAAAAAAGAAGGAAGAAAAUAAAUCAGAUGACAAGGAUGGUAAAGAAGUUGACGGUAAUCAUGAAAAGACCAGAGGGAGUAGUUCGGUUAUGGAAAAGAAAUUAAGUAGAAGGUUGUGUGAAAACCGAAGAGGAAGCUUAUCCCAAGAAAUGACCAAAGGAGAAGAAAAAUCAGCAGACUUCUUGAGUACUCCCAAUAGUUCCUCUGUUCAGAAACCAAAAAGGGGCAGUGAUACCACAUUAAUGCCUGAACAAGAGCCAAUGGAAAUUGAUUCUGAGCCAGCUGUUGAAAAUGCAUUUGAAGCAUCUAAAACCCAAGACAGCGGCAAUAGUAGUUCUCAGCAAGACAUUGACUCUGAAAAUGUUAUGAAACAAAAAACCACUAUCAUGGUUCUAAAGGAUGAAUUAAGAACUUCCACAGUAGAUUCAAAAACGGCAGCUCCAGCCUAUAAAUCAGGACGUGGAACAGGAGUUGUUAGUAAUUCUGAAAAGCACACUAACCAUAAGGGCACCCUGACCAGGAAAGUGCAUAUCCAAAGUGCUGUGUCCAAACUGAACCCUGGGGAGAAAGAACCCAUUCAACAGGGAACUCAUGAAACCAAUACAGACUCUGAAACUAGUCCUAGACUAUUGUCUCGAGCCCCAUCAGAAAAUGAUAGGGCACAAAAGAAUUUGAAAAACACAACCCGACCCACUGAAGAACAUGUUGCUCAGGGAGAUGCUGGUCAUGAACAUUCCCUAAAUUCAGAUCUUUCACCGUCCUUAAGUUCAGUAACUGUGAUGCCUCAGAAACAGUCUCGUGAUACAGAUGUAAGUCCUUUGAUUGACAAAAGGACUGUUUUAGAAGGUGGCACAGCCAGCACCUCCCUUGUGGAGCACUCUGAUACUCCUAACCAAAGUCUGACUGUUAGGGAAUCAGAAGUCCCUAGGACAAGAGACAGCAAAGAAAGUGGGGCAGUUUCCACAGUAGAUACGCUGGCAAAAGCAAGCAUGGAUGGCAGAAGACACAUUCCAGAAGGUUUCCAGCCUGCUGUGCUGCACACUAAACAAGGAAAAGUAAAUGUGCCUGUUGGUAGCAAGUUAAUAGAUGUGAAUACGGAAAAUGGGAAUGCUCCCAAAGAAGGCGGCUUGAUGGACAUGGCCAGGAAAGAAAGUGACUUGAACACAGAGCCCAGUUCAAAGCAGACAACGAGAGCUGUCCUAGAAAAUGGCAAAAAGCAUGGCAUCACUGUUGACCCUGUGGUAGGCAUGAGUACAGAAAAAGGUGCUGAGACCAUUGAACUUAAAUGUAAUAGUGGCCCAGGUGAAAUGGAAAACACAUCAAUUGUGGUUGAAGGAAGGACUGAAAGUAGUGAGGUAGACACCAGUGCUGGAAGUAAUGCUGCUUCUUCAGUUUUACAGCAAAGGAACAGAAAAACUGCCAAUGGGACAGCUGGGUCUGGCAGAGCAGGAAAGACUUCUUUUGCCACUAGCACUGCAGGGAAGGUUGAAGGUGUUCCCCUAAACACAGUAAAGGCGGGGGAUGCCACGACCACUUCCUCAGAAACAGGGGAGGGUGAGGUGGUACCCUGCACGAGCAUUGAGGCAGACGAAGGCUUCAUAACAGGUGCAUGCUCUAGAAACAAUCCUCUUCACACUGGGGCAGAAGCCAGCGAAUGCACUGUUUUUGCUGCAGCUGAAGAAGGUGGAGGUGUUGUUACAGAAGGAUUUGCUGAAAGUGAACCCUUCCUCACAAGCACCAAGGAGGGGGAGAGUGGAGAGUGUACUAUGGCUGAAUCUGAAGAAAGGGCAGUGGACCCUGUGACUGCUCAUGAAGUUACGGUUGAAGACAAUGUCAACAGUGGUGUGACAGAGGAGAAAGAUGAUGCUGUCACCAGUGCCGGCUCUGAAGAAAAAUGUGACGGUUCUUCACGUCGAGAUUCGGAAAUUGCUGAAGGAACUAUUACCUUUAUUAGUGAGGUUGAAAGCGAUGGCGCGGUGACAAGUGCUGGGACAGAAAUAAGGGAGGGUUCCUUAAGCAGUGAAGAGGUAGAUGGGUUCCAGAGAAAUAUGACAAGAAUGGGCCCCAAAAAAGAAACUGAGGGGACUGUGACAUGCACCGGAGCAGAAAGGAGAAGCGCUACCUCUGUUAUGUGCUCGAUAACAGGCGCCGAGCGACAGGAGGAGCGCGUGGUUACAGGCGCAGCUGUGGCCCUUGUUAGUAAUGACACACCACCAGGAACCAGUGCCCCCCAGGAAGGAGACGCUUCUGUGAAUGACGGGGCAGAAGGUGAAAGUGCCGUCACCAGCACAGGGAUAACAGAAGAAGAUGGAGAGGGGCCAGCGAGCUGCACAGGUUCAGAAGAGGGCAGUGAGGGCUUUGUCCUAAGUUCUGAAUCAGAAGACAAUGGAGAGAGUGCAAUGGAUAGCACAGUAGCCAAAGAAGGCACUAAUGUGCCAUCAGUCGCGGCUGGGCCAUGUGACGACGAAGGAAUUGUAACCAGCACCGGUGCCAAAGAGGAGGACGAGGAAGGUGAAGGGGUGGUGACCAGUACUGGAAGGGGAAAUGAAAUUGGGCACGCGUCCACUUGCACUGGGACAGAGGAGGAGAAUGAAGGGGUAUCGAUUUGUGGGAGUGCCGAAGAAGGCGACAGUCAGAUCGGUACUGCAGCAGGGCAUGUAGGAGCUGAGGCUGGAAUCACCAUCACCAAUGCCAGCGAGAGCAAUGUUGACAGCAUGAGUGGUGCAGAGAAGGGCAUGAAACAUACGGAGAUCUGCUCCAGUGCAAAAGGGAUUGUAGAAAGCAGCGUGACCAGUGCUGCUUCAGGGAAGGGUGAAGUGGUACGAGUUCCCGAAGGUUGCGAGGGUCCCAUGACUAGUGCAGCUUCAGGUCAGAAUGACGGUUUGCUCACCAGAAAAGAAAAAGUUGAUGAUACCACAAUUUCCACUGGCUUGGUGGGGGGCAGUUACGAGGUACUUGCGUCCAGGGCAGUCCCAGAAUGUGAAGCUGGUCACACAAUGCCGAGUGGAAAAGAAGACGAAGGUAUCAUCACCUCAGUGGACAAUGAAGAAUGCGAUGGCCUUAUGGCCAGUACAGCCAGUGACAGGGUUACCAACCACACUUGUUUAGCUGGGGUUAAGAGUCCAGGCAAAGGCUUGAUGAUUUCCACCAGUACCACGCAUGACUACGCCACUCAGUUAAGCACAGUUGCAGGUGUGGCUGAAGGCCGUUCCAGCGCGCUGAGAACCGGAGAAAAUAUGGAAGGCACCAGAAGAAACAUGGAGGAAUUUGAGGCCCCCAUGCCCAGUGCAGUGUCAGGAGGUGAGAGCCCAGUCCCUGCUGUGAGAAAUGAAGAGAAAGACGAGUGUGCCAUGAUUUCCACGAGCCUAGGGGAAGAGUUCGAAGUGCCCAUUUCCAGCGCCACAACCGUCACGUGUGCAGAAAGUCAGCAGCCAGUGGCCACCGUGGAAGACCGCGCUCAGGGCCCAGGCUUGCUGGGCACCGACGACUUCGAGGGGCCCACGCCCAGCGCACCCACAGCACUGGAGAGCCCACUCGCCUCAACCAGCAAGGAGGACAAAGACGAGUGCGCGCUCAUCUCCACCAGCAUAGCGGAGGAGUGCGAGGCUUCUGUUGGCGGCGCCCAUGCCGGAAGUGAAAAGGCACGACCCGCCACUGUCCUGGAAGAAAAAGACUGGAGCGCUAUCAUCUCCACCAGCUCGGGAGAAGACUGCGAGGGCCCCGUGUCCAGCGCCGCCCCUCGGGAGGACGGCCAGCCCUCGGUCACGCGAGCGGAGGAGAUCAGCGACACCGCCAUGAUUUCCACCAGCACCUCUGAAGGCCGCGAGGCAGUCAUGAUGGGUGCGGUCCCACAGGACGAUGAGCCGCCUGGCACGGCAAGGAUGGAGGACUUGGGUGACGCCGCCAUCAUUUCCACCAGCACGGCCGAGUGCGUGCCGGCGCUUGCCGGCCUCAGCAAGCAGGAGGAGAACCCGCAGACUGCAAGCAACACGGAUGGCAAAGAGCCCCCGUCGGCCGCCGGGAUGAGCAAGGGUGAGGCCCCGAGGCCCAGCCUGUUGGCCAUCAACAGCUGUCCACGCCCUGGGCCGCCGGCAGGGGGCAGAGCGGCGGGCGCCGAGGAGGGGCGCCACAGGGAGGCAGGCAGUGCGCUCUCCGCGGCGGCCGGCCAGCCAUGCGCUGCGCGGGCUCCGGAGGAGGGGCGCAGCCAAGACAGCCCCCGCGAGGUGCCGCUGGCAGGGAAGGGACCGAGUGAAAGCAGUUUGCGCCUCGUAAAUGCUGCAGAGAGGAGUGCGUGGCUGAGCUCUGUUCAGAGUGGACAGGGGAGUCGGGAGGCAGCUACCGCAGGGCACAGCACCUGUCGGGCAGGGAGGGGUGUGCGGAGGGGAGCGGACUCACCUGAGGAUCUCACGGGACCGGAGCAAACGGCGGGACUGACGGCUGAGGACUCCUCCCUCGGGAUCCGCUGCUUGCCAGCAGUAAGUCCCGGUGCUGAGAAAGCCGAUGAUGUGCCACCUGCCAGAGACACUGCAGCAGAGCCGUCCUCUCCUGAGCAGUCCUGGCCCGCAGCCCCCGUGAACACCACCACCACUGAAUGUAUUAAUGGCCAGGAAUCAGAAAUUGGCCCUUCCCACGUGCCAGUCCUUCCAGCUGCCUACAGUGUAGCCCUGUCUGCUCCAAACUGUGAGCAGGACUUGACUAUAAAGAGUGAUCACAAUGGCAAACGGCUGGUUCAAGGGUCCAGUGAGAAAGCAGGAGAUGGUAAUGGCAUGAGGAAAUCAUCCCAGGAGGAAGGGGACCUCAAGGUCACUGUGCCUCCUGAAGAAAAUUUGCAUGACAUAGGCAAUGAAGAGUCUCCGUCGAAUGUCCUGGGAGGAAUGGCACUAAAAGACAGCUUGAAAACUGAGAUAUUUGUACCAUCAGAGGAAGAGAAAAACCGUGAAAUUCUAGCAGCACCAGCAAGUCCAUGUGGGAGAAAGCCAAGUGGAGUAGCCAAACUACAGAGGGAGCCUUUCUUGGUGAAUGAAUCACUUAAUAAUGUCAAAAAUUCGGGCUCAAGAGCAAAUGAAGAAAUUCGUAGCGAAUCUCCUAACAAAGAAGAGAUAUCCAAGAGCAGAAAAGACAACACAGAAGCCUUAGGAGAUCACAGCAUUGAAGCAAAUCCUAAAGAGGUUGAAGAGGAAGAAAGACAGAUACCUAAAAGAAAAAGAAAGAAGCAUUAUCCCUCUUCAGAUGAUGAACUGGAUGAUAAUCCAGAUGUCCUAGAUUCCAAAAUAGAAACAGCACAGAGGCAGUGUUCUGAAACUGAACCACAAGAUACAAAGGAGGAAAACACUGGAGAUUUGGAAGAAUUCUCUAAAACAAGUUCUAAGACAAACAGCACUCCUUCAAGGGCCAUGGACGAAAAGGACGAAUACGGCAGUGGUGAAGCUGCUGGUGAAAAGACCGAGCAGAAUGACGAUGACAACAUGAAAUCUCAGGAGGAAGAUCAGCCAGUAAUCAUUAAAAGGAAAAGAGGAAGACCUCGUAAACACCCCUUAGAAACAGCGUUAAAAACAAAAGAAGACUGCAAAACAGAUACUGGCAUCGUCACUGUAGAACAGUCUCCACCUGGCGGCAAACCAAAAUUAACACAGACAGAUGAGUCCAAUAAAGAAACCACUACCCUACAAGAAAGAAGUAUAAGCAACGAUGAUGGUGAAGAAAAAACAGUAGCAAGUGUGCGGCGGAGAGGAAGAAAGCCCAAGCGUUCGCUCACUCUGUCAGAUGAUGCUGAAUCUUCAGAGCCAGAAAGAAAACGCCAGAAAUCAGUUUCUGAAGCCAUUGAGGACAAGAAAGACCAGGAGUCUGAGGAGGAAGAGGAAGAGGAGGAAGAGGAGGAGCCCUCGGGAGCCACUACAAGGUCCACCACCAGAUCAGAGGCCCAGAGAAAGCAUCAUAGCAAGCCAUCAGCAUGUGCAGCAUCCACGCUUGGCAGCCCAGAAACCAUUUCUGCUAGAAAUCGCCAAAUGUUAGCAAAAGAGAAGUUAUCUACCUGCGAAAAAGUUAGUAAAUCUCCCCUAUUAGGAAGAUAACUGUCUUUUGGGGAUCACUGGUUUCCCAAAUGGAAACCUACUCCAGAAGGUAUUGCAGGGGCUGCAGAAGGAACCUCAGGCCUCGCUUCACGGCCUCCUCCAGACUUGCCUUUGAGCUUUGUGAGCCUUACGCACUGACUCCCGUCCACCAGGACCAAAGGCGAGGCGUGUUUCUUUCCGAGUGGUUGCAGGUCCGAGUACUUGGCUAAACCAGCACGGCAUGGUCAGUCGCAUCACAGCCCAGAAUUGUUUCUGUUUCAGCCAGAGUGUUGGAGAGGCGAUGGGGUAACAGUAAAACAGCCCCUUCCGGCUCAGCCCCUGGCCGGCUCCUGCCGUCCGCAGCCUCAUUCAUCCUACGAGCUUCCCACAGGCUGCGUCCGGCCCGCCUUUGUGGCCUUGGCUUGUGCUGGUUCUUGAGUGCCCUUGCUGUCGGCCGCCAGCAAGCCAGGCACUGCCGUCCUUCACAUUCCCUCCUCAGGAGGCCCCCACUGCUUCAGUUCCUCUCUGUCCUUCCCACGGCACUUCCGGCCUGCUCUGCACGGGAUGGUGGUGUAUGCCCUCUCUGAACUCCAAGCUUCUUCCUUGAGAUGCGGGUCUCGUCUUACUUUCUGUACAUUAUAGCAGCAACAGAUAAAAAGACUCUUCACAGUGUACAAAAAUUGUUGUGACAUCUCUUACAACAGUUGAUCUUCUAGCAUACGGGUAAUGUAGGUACGUGUUAUCAGCCCUGUGUUCUAGAAAGGGAAGCACAGUAAAGUGCCAGGCAUCUUUCAUAUGGAUUCUUCCAUUUAAUCCUCAUUAAGUGAAAUGUUUUAUUUAUCCUUAUUUUAUACGUGAGGGAAGGAAUCUCAGGAAGGUCUGGUCCGUAUUUCUCAAAAUGGACUUGCAGACCAGUUGGGGGAACUCAGUGCUAAGGUUCUGAUUCUGUAGGUCUGGGUUGGGCCUGAGCGUCUGCCUUUCUAAUAGCGCCCAGGUGGUGCUUGUGCCACUGGUCACAGACCACACCACGUUGGGUGCAGGAAGGGGCCUGGCUGACCCCUCGAGCUCACACGGCCCGGAAGAGGCACCCUGACUCACCGCUGUUGUCCCUGCUACGUGGCAUCCAACACAGCGCUGGCGUGCCAGCUACUCAGCGAGGAGGUACUGAGGGGGCGGCCGGUGGCUCUCCCUGCCACGGCCUGAACGGGAGAUCAACAAACACUGCUCGUCAGCUCUUCCCCACACGUGCGUAUCCGCGGACACUGCAUCCCGUACAGCCGUACGUGACUCGGUUUGAGUUUAUUUACUUGGGCCAUCAAAAGAACCGUAAGCAAGACCUGCCUUUCUAUCCGUGCAGCCCCAUUGGUCCAUCUCCUGCAAUUUUGAUUUUCCAGGCCUUUUCCUUCAUGGAUAGAACCAUGGCCGCUUGCUGACACGUGCCUUUGUGCAAGGUGCUGGGGAGAGGAAAAGGAGUAAGACCCAGCAGCUGCUGUGGAGAAGCAUCCUAGCCGGGGAGACAUGUGUCCAGGACUUGCAAGAUUUUUUGGCACCAGCCACACUAAAACUAUGUUGCAGUAUACUUGCAGAGUGCUCACAUUCUGCCCCUAUCACUGCAACAAAAUUCUCAUGAACCAAAUUUAAUAGACGUCGCACCAGUGGUAUUUUCUACUGUGGUCUAUUUGCAUGCUGUUUUAAAGUCAGCCCUCGACACAAGGGUUUGUUUUUUUUGUUGUUGUUUUUUGUUUGUUUGUUUUGGGAGAAAAUCACUUUAUUCUAAUUCACAAAUGAGAACAUGUUUUAAAAUAAUGACUGUAGCCUACAGUUGGAAAAAACCAGCAGGUACAUCACAGUGGUAAGCGCUCUGGUGAAGACACGAAGUGCCGUGGGAUUUCCAGAGAGCAGCUUGCUCUGUGAUCGAAGGCCCAGCUGUCCCCUUCUAGCAAGCGCAAGAGGGAAACCAGUCCCCCCGGAGCCCGAACCAGAGGCCAGCAGAGGGUGGAAGAAGCCCCUUCGAAGAAGGCCAAGCGGUAAUCC